This 70-nucleotide transfer RNA is filed under the name Loxodonta africana (African savanna elephant). It matches the Rfam family "tRNA". From Rfam's summary of the family: Transfer RNA (tRNA) molecules are approximately 80 nucleotides in length. Their secondary structure includes four short double-helical elements and three loops (D, anti-codon, and T loops). Lineage: Eukaryota; Metazoa; Chordata; Mammalia; Proboscidea; Elephantidae. The record is from Rfam by way of RNAcentral.
GGAUUGGUGGUUCGAUGUAGAGUUUUUGCCUUCCAUGUGAGAGAUCCAGGUUCAAUUCCUGGUCAAUAUG